Molecule: long non-coding RNA, 906 nt
Organism: Mercenaria mercenaria
Lineage: Eukaryota; Metazoa; Mollusca; Bivalvia; Venerida; Veneridae
Exons: 3
Source: RefSeq, a predicted model, not a curated record
CUUAACAGGGAAGAAAAUAUGUAUUUUAAACAUUUAAAAGCGCAAUGUCAUGGACAUUAUGUUUAACAUUAUAAGUACACGACGGAGACAUACGUUCUGUCACAUACCAGCAGGUAACGAAGAAGUGACUUUGAUUUAAAAGGAAUUGUCAGUAAAAGAAUACGAACUCUGGUUCAAUAAGAAUGUAUGCGCUGAUUGUGCUCUCCAUCCUGUUAGGGACAACCCUUGCAUCGUCUUGCAAUUAUUUCGGUGAUGUUUGCCAAAACUGGGAUUGGAAGGUUGGCACGUCUUUUAAGAAUGACUUUAAACCUGCGUGUCAAAAAUUAAGCGUUUGUUACAACUGUGGUAUGGUACUCGGUAACUUCAAUAAAUGGAGAUGUGAUAUGCAAUUAUAUACUGACCUUACAAAGUUCUGUCUCACAGUGGACUGGACGUGGCGUUGGGUCUGUUUAGCUGAUGCCAAACUGUAUUACAGCAUGGCGCAAAGAAGUCAACAUCACAAAGAAAGCAAUCAACAGAGUCCUGCCUUAUGCCCCCCGUUUUUUGCAGAGGGUUGCUUGCCAAAAUAAAGAGAUACACGAUCAUUUUGAAUUUUCAUCUGAAAAAAAAUAUCCAUUUUGUUUAAUCUUUAAUUUUUAGAAACGCUUGUAUCCGAGACUUAUAUACUUAUGAUGUUCAGUACUUACAAAACAUGAUAAAAUGUCAUUUUCUCAAAACUAACCUAACUCACAAAACAAAAAUGUAUUUGAAAUACUUAACCGACACUUGAACAAACAGCUGCAGUUAGUGAAUCUAAAUUUUAAAUGUUUUACACUGUAAUCCAUGUAAUUAGUUUUCAUGUCAAAUAACUGGAGUGUAAGCAAAAAGUUUACCCAUAAUAUCAAUGAAAUAAAGUCUCUAUCUCUU